RNAcentral lists this ribosomal RNA (2990 nucleotides) under Salmonella enterica subsp. enterica serovar Hissar. RNAcentral describes it as "23S ribosomal RNA". It matches the Rfam family "Bacterial large subunit ribosomal RNA". Lineage: Bacteria; Pseudomonadati; Pseudomonadota; Gammaproteobacteria; Enterobacterales; Enterobacteriaceae. The record is from RNAcentral.
GGUUAAGCGACUAAGCGUACACGGUGGAUGCCCUGGCAGUCAGAGGCGAUGAAGGGCGUGCUAAUCUGCGAUAAGCGCCGGUAAGGUGAUAUGAACCGUUAUAACCGGCGAUACCCGAAUGGGGAAACCCAGUGUGAUUGGUCACACUAUCAUUAACUGAAUCCAUAGGUUAAUGAGGCGAACCGGGGGAACUGAAACAUCUAAGUACCCCGAGGAAAAGAAAUCAACCGAGAUUCCCCCAGUAGCGGCGAGCGAACGGGGAGGAGCCCAGAGCCUGAAUCAGCAUGUGUGUUAGUGGAAGCGUCUGGAAAGGCGCGCGAUACAGGGUGACAGCCCCGUACACAAAAGCGCAUGUGCUGUGAGCUCGAUGAGUAGGGCGGGACACGUGGUAUCCUGUCUGAAUAUGGGGGGACCAUCCUCCAAGGCUAAAUACUCCUGACUGACCGAUAGUGAACCAGUACCGUGAGGGAAAGGCGAAAAGAACCCCGGCGAGGGGAGUGAAAAAGAACCUGAAACCGUGUACGUACAAGCAGUGGGAGCACCCUUCGGGGUGUGACUGCGUACCUUUUGUAUAAUGGGUCAGCGACUUAUAUUCUGUAGCAAGGUUAACCGUAUAGGGGAGCCGGAGGGAAACCGAGUCUUAAUUGGGCGUUAAGUUGCAGGGUAUAGACCCGAAACCCGGUGAUCUAGCCAUGGGCAGGUUGAAGGUUGGGUAACACUAACUGGAGGACCGAACCGACUAAUGUUGAAAAAUUAGCGGAUGACCUGUGGCUGGGGGUGAAAGGCCAAUCAAACCGGGAGAUAGCUGGUUCUCCCCGAAAGCUAUUUAGGUAGCGCCUCGUGAAUUCAUCUCCGGGGGUAGAGCACUGUUUCGGCUAGGGGGCCAUCCCGGCUUACCAACCCGAUGCAAACUGCGAAUACCGGAGAAUGUUAUCACGGGAGACACACGGCGGGUGCUAACGUCCGUCGUGAAGAGGGAAACAACCCAGACCGCCAGCUAAGGUCCCAAAGUCAUGGUUAAGUGGGAAACGAUGUGGGAAGGCCCAGACAGCCAGGAUGUUGGCUUAGAAGCAGCCAUCAUUUAAAGAAAGCGUAAUAGCUCACUGGUCGAGUCGGCCUGCGCGGAAGAUGUAACGGGGCUAAACCAUGCACCGAAGCUGCGGCAGCGAACGUAUCACCCAAGACAACUUUACGGAGUUGACGAUUGACGGAGCGAAGCGACGUCAAAGCGUUCAUUAAAGUCGAGUUGGCUUAGGGAUACGUUCGUUGGGUAGGGGAGCGUUCUGUAAGCCUGUGAAGGUGUGUCGUGAGGCAUGCUGGAGGUAUCAGAAGUGCGAAUGCUGACAUAAGUAACGAUAAAGCGGGUGAAAAGCCCGCUCGCCGGAAGACCAAGGGUUCCUGUCCAACGUUAAUCGGGGCAGGGUGAGUCGACCCCUAAGGCGAGGCCGAAAGGCGUAGUCGAUGGGAAACGGGUUAAUAUUCCCGUACUUGGUGUUACUGCGAAGGGGGGACGGAGAAGGCUAUGUUGGCCGGGCGACGGUUGUCCCGGUUUAAGCGUGUAGGUGUGUGUUCCAGGUAAAUCCGGUUCACUUUAACACUGAGGCGUGACGACGAGGCACUACGGUGCUGAAGCAACAAAUGCCCUGCUUCCAGGAAAAGCCUCUAAGCAUCAGGUAACAUCAAAUCGUACCCCAAACCGACACAGGUGGUCAGGUAGAGAAUACCAAGGCGCUUGAGAGAACUCGGGUGAAGGAACUAGGCAAAAUGGUGCCGUAACUUCGGGAGAAGGCACGCUGACACGUAGGUGAAGUGAUUUACUCAUGGAGCUGAAGUCAGUCGAAGAUACCAGCUGGCUGCAACUGUUUAUUAAAAACACAGCACUGUGCAAACACGAAAGUGGACGUAUACGGUGUGACGCCUGCCCGGUGCCGGAAGGUUAAUUGAUGGGGUCAGCGCAAGCGAAGCUCCUGAUCGAAGCCCCGGUAAACGGCGGCCGUAACUAUAACGGUCCUAAGGUAGCGAAAUUCCUUGUCGGGUAAGUUCCGACCUGCACGAAUGGCGUAAUGAUGGCCAGGCUGUCUCCACCCGAGACUCAGUGAAAUUGAACUCGCUGUGAAGAUGCAGUGUACCCGCGGCAAGACGGAAAGACCCCGUGAACCUUUACUAUAGCUUGACACUGAACAUUGAGCCUUGAUGUGUAGGAUAGGUGGGAGGCUUUGAAGUGUGGACGCCAGUCUGCAUGGAGCCGACCUUGAAAUACCACCCUUUAAUGUUUGAUGUUCUAACGUGGACCCGUAAUCCGGGUUGCGGACAGUGUCUGGUGGGUAGUUUGACUGGGGCGGUCUCCUCCUAAAGAGUAACGGAGGAGCACGAAGGUUGGCUAAUCCUGGUCGGACAUCAGGAGGUUAGUGCAAUGGCAUAAGCCAGCUUGACUGCGAGCGUGACGGCGCGAGCAGGUGCGAAAGCAGGUCAUAGUGAUCCGGUGGUUCUGAAUGGAAGGGCCAUCGCUCAACGGAUAAAAGGUACUCCGGGGAUAACAGGCUGAUACCGCCCAAGAGUUCAUAUCGACGGCGGUGUUUGGCACCUCGAUGUCGGCUCAUCACAUCCUGGGGCUGAAGUAGGUCCCAAGGGUAUGGCUGUUCGCCAUUUAAAGUGGUACGCGAGCUGGGUUUAGAACGUCGUGAGACAGUUCGGUCCCUAUCUGCCGUGGGCGCUGGAGAACUGAGGGGGGCUGCUCCUAGUACGAGAGGACCGGAGUGGACGCAUCACUGGUGUUCGGGUUGUCAUGCCAAUGGCACUGCCCGGUAGCUAAAUGCGGAAGAGAUAAGUGCUGAAAGCAUCUAAGCACGAAACUUGCCCCGAGAUGAGUUCUCCCUGAGACUUAGAGUCUCCUGAAGGAACGUUGAAGACGACGACGUUGAUAGGCCGGGUGUGUAAGCGCAGCGAUGCGUUGAGCUAACCGGUACUAAUGAACCGUGAGGCUUAACCUU